UUAAAUCCAAGGGCGUAUGUCUCGGCUUUUCUUCAUUUUCAGUGCUUGUAAACCAGCCAAUACUCCUACGUAUCUCUCGUUUUUUAAGCCAAUCUUAAUCCCAAGAUAAAGAUGUACUUAUGAACCUCCAUUUUCAUUCACCAGAGAAAGUCUUCGAUUUUUCAUUGAAAUCAAAUCUACCCAUUGAUUUCAGAUACUCAUACUCUUAGACUAACUCUUCGAUUGAACCCAUUGGGUACCGUGAACCACCGAGAUUCUCUCCCUUUGGACCUGGACAGUUCGACCGGAAAUGGACCGGCACUUAUGCUCUGGCCGAAGAAGCAGUUGAUUUGUUAUAGGUAGAAGAACAACGACGCGAGGUUCUUGGUGGACCACUCUCCAAAGAAGUCGCUGCGCUUGUGGAGUGGUUUCGUCAUAACGAUUGUUCUCAACAGAUUAAUUUGGGGAUAUGAUAUAAUUGAUGUUUUGCCAUGGGAUGAGUGGUGGAACUUUGAGCUCACUAAAGAUGAGUCCAAUCCACAUAUUUCACUUCUUCCUUUGCAUCCUGACGUCCGGGCCAUGUUUAAUGAGACUGCUGCUUGGGAGUAUGCUUUUAGCAUGGUGGGCAAGCCCUAUGGUUAUCAUCACCUGAUAUUUAGCUGGAUUGACACUAUUGAUGGGAACUAUCCGCCUCCCUUGGAUGCUCAUGUGGUUGCUUCUGUUAUGACCGUCUGGAAUAAUGUACAGCCUCAUUAUGCUGCUAACAUGUGGAAUGAAGCCUUGAACAAGUGACUUGGAACUAAGGGCCUUGAUCUUCCUGAAAUUCUUGUAGAAGCUGAAAGGCGUGGGGUCAUCUUUUGAUGAAUUGUUGACAAUUCCCGAGCAAGACAAUUGGAUAUACAGUGAUGGAAAGUCUACAUCAUGUGUCGUUUUCAUUCUUGAAAUGUACAAGGAAGCAGGGUUGUUUGAUCCAAUUGCAAACUCCAUUCAAGUUACAAAGUUUAAGAUAAAAGAUGCUUACACACUCAAGUUCUUUGAAAACAAUUCAAGCCGCCUGCCAAAGUGGUGCAAUGAUGCGGACACUAUGAAGCUCCCUUUCUGCCAUAUGCGAGGGAAGUAUAGAAUGGAAUUACUUAUGGAAUUAUGGUGGGGUUAUAAAAUAAGGAAUUAUGAUAGAGAACUUAGAGACAAAGAAGAAAGCAAAAAGAUGGAGAGGAGUUGAAGGGAAUUUACAUGCUCUAUUAGGUUGACAUAAAGGCCAAUAUAUAGACUUACAAGGUUGUUCCACGUGUCCUGGAUAAGGUUGGAGUCGAUCAGGAGACAGCUGCAUUUGAUAGUGGGGUCCACUGUGCUUCCAUCCUGUUGAUGAGAUUGUGAUAUUCUUCAUCAGUCUCUGAUGGAGGGGAAUCCGGAUCUUGGCUGUAUUGCUCAUUCCGGAAAUGUUCUACAUCAUCUGCUGUCAUGGCUAGUUCCAACGGAAGAUCUAAAUUAUUUCUCUUUUUGAGAUUUAUUAACAUGUCAAGAGCCUCAUUAAUUUGUGUAGGAGACCUUUGAUAUGUUAUAGGAAAAUGAGUUACAAAUAAUAUUCUUCCAUCUGUAACCAUGAGUGGCAAUUUUGCUGAGCCAUGGAUGUUGGACGCUGCUUGUGAAACAGAUAUUAGACUGUCUAUCCAAUAUUCUGUUAAAGAAAGGUUUUGGAUA
Molecule: non-coding RNA, 1680 nt
Organism: Camellia sinensis
Lineage: Eukaryota; Viridiplantae; Streptophyta; Magnoliopsida; Ericales; Theaceae
Source: RefSeq, a predicted model, not a curated record